GCGUUAUCCGGAUUUAUUGGGUUUAAAGGGUGCGUAGGUGGUGAUUUAAGUCAGCGGUGAAAGUUUGUGGCUCAACCAUAAAAUUGCCGUUGAAACUGGGUUACUUGAGUGUGUUUGAGGUAGGCGGAAUGCGUGGUGUAGCGGUGAAAUGCAUAGAUAUCACGCAGAACUCCGAUUGCGAAGGCAGCUUACUAAACCAUAACUGACACUGAAGCACGAAAGCGUGGGGAUCAAACAGGAUUAGAUACCCU
Molecule: ribosomal RNA, 251 nt
Filed under: Lacisediminihabitans profunda
Lineage: Bacteria; Bacillati; Actinomycetota; Actinomycetes; Micrococcales; Microbacteriaceae
Description: Bacterial small subunit ribosomal RNA
Rfam family: Bacterial small subunit ribosomal RNA
Source: Rfam by way of RNAcentral